ACGAAAGAAAGAAGUUACUAAGAAAGAAAGAAAGAAAGAAAGAAAGAAAGAUCUCGGUAUAAUCCCUGACGAGAGAUCAAGUAAAAUACACCUGCUUCCUAUAAUAAUGAUGAUAUAAAAAGGCGUGUGGAAUUUAAGAUCAGAUCUCAUGGUAUGGACAGGUUUAGGGAUGAGGUUUCAGGUUUACGCUCGGGCGCUGUGAACGAGUCACUCUCACUGUGCACUCGGGUGUGGUGUGUAGAGCAGCAGGGGUAACACACAACGUGUGUGGUGUGUGCUCAUGGUUAAUGUGGCAUGACGCAGGAGAGAGAGAGAGCGAGAGAGAGCGAGAGCGAGCGAGAGAGUCGGGCUUGUUGGUUGAGGUGUAAUUGGGAGAGGAGAUACACACACGUGACUGUAAGACCAUGUGUACAUCUGAUCAGUUCAGGUUGUAAGGUUUUAAUUACAUGUGUAGUCAGAUAUAUCACCGCUGAACUGAACUCUGUUUUAUUUGCUGUACCGCAUGUAAUAUGCAGUUCAGCGCUGGUCCAGGUACUGUACUUAAAAAUGGUUUCCACAUCAAUAUAUUUUUUGCUUCAUUAAAGACACCAAUUUGAUGUCAAUUUGAGCAGAUACUGUACGCUGUGACAAUGC
Ictalurus punctatus (channel catfish) is the source of this 633-nucleotide long non-coding RNA. The record is from Ensembl. NCBI's taxonomy places the organism in Eukaryota, Metazoa, Chordata, Actinopteri, Siluriformes, Ictaluridae.